This 476-nucleotide ribosomal RNA is filed under the name Busseola nairobica. Its description in RNAcentral is "partial 16S large subunit ribosomal RNA". The record is from RNAcentral. Lineage: Eukaryota; Metazoa; Arthropoda; Insecta; Lepidoptera; Noctuidae.
UGUCUUUUUGAAAAUAAUAUAAAGUCUAAUCUGCCCACUGAUUUUAUAUUAAAGGGCUGCAGUAUUUUGACUGUACAAAGGUAGCAUAAUCAUUAGUCAUUUAAUUGAUGACUUGUAUGAAAGAUUGAAUGAAAUAUAGACUGUCUCUUAAUUAUUAAUAUAAAAUUUAAUUUUUUAAUUAAAAAGUUAAAAUAAUUUAAAAAGACGAGAAGACCCUAUAGAGUUUUAUAUUUAAAUUAAUUAAGAUUAUUUAAAAUUUAAAAUUAAAAUUAAUUUAUUUAUUAUAUUGGGGUGAUAGAAAAAUAUAUAUAACUUUUUUUACAUAAAAACAUUUAUAAGUGAUUAAAUGAUCCAAUAAUAUUGAUUAUAAGAAAAAAUUACCUUAGGGAUAACAGCGUAAUUUUUUUUUUUAGUUCACAUAAAAAAAAGAGUUUGCGACCUCGAUGUUGGAUUAAGAUAAAAUUUAAAUGUAGAAG